GAUGAACGCUGGCGGCGUGCCUAAUACAUGCAAGUCGAGCGAACAGAUGAGGAGCUUGCUCCUCUGACGUUAGCGGCGGACGGGUGAGUAACACGUGGAUAACCUACCUAUAAGACUGGGAUAACUUCGGGAAACCGGAGCUAAUACCGGAUAAUAUAUUGAACCGCAUGGUUCAAUAGUGAAAGACGGUUUUGCUGUCACUUAUAGAUGGAUCCGCGCCGCAUUAGCUAGUUGGUAAGGUAACGGCUUACCAAGGCAACGAUGCGUAGCCGACCUGAGAGGGUGAUCGGCCACACUGGAACUGAGACACGGUCCAGACUCCUACGGGAGGCAGCAGUAGGGAAUCUUCCGCAAUGGGCGAAAGCUUGACGGAGCAACGCCGCGUGAGUGAUGAAGGUCUUCGGAUCGUAAAACUCUGUUAUUAGGGAAGAACAAAUGUGUAAGUAUCUAUGCACGUCUUGACGGUACCUAAUCAGAAAGCCACGGCUAACUACGUG
RNAcentral lists this ribosomal RNA (497 nucleotides) under uncultured bacterium. RNAcentral's name for it is "partial 16S ribosomal RNA". It matches the Rfam family "Bacterial small subunit ribosomal RNA", at positions 28 to 507 of the family's 1533-position model. The record is from RNAcentral.